Molecule: transfer RNA, 71 nt
Filed under: Marmota monax (woodchuck)
Lineage: Eukaryota; Metazoa; Chordata; Mammalia; Rodentia; Sciuridae
Description: tRNA.Ala
Rfam family: tRNA (bases 6-66)
About the family: Transfer RNA (tRNA) molecules are approximately 80 nucleotides in length. Their secondary structure includes four short double-helical elements and three loops (D, anti-codon, and T loops).
Source: RNAcentral
GGGGUUGUUGCUCAGUGGUAGAGCACUUGCCUAGCAUGCAUGAUGCACUGGGUUAGAUUCCCAGCACUACA